UACGUAGGCAGCGAGCGUUGUUCGGAGUUACUGGGCGUAAAGGGUGUGUAGGCGGUUGUUUAAGUUUGGUGUGAAAUCUCCCGGCUCAACUGGGAGGGUGCGCCGAAUACUGAAUGACUUGGAGUGCGGGAGAGGAAAGUGGAAUUCCUGGUGUAGCGGUGAAAUGCGUAGAUAUCAGGAGGAACACCAGUGGCGAAGGCGACUAUCUGGGCUGCAACUGACGCUGAGGCGCGAAGGCUAGGGUAGCAAACAGG
This 254-nucleotide ribosomal RNA is filed under the name uncultured bacterium. Its description in RNAcentral is "partial 16S ribosomal RNA". It matches the Rfam family "Bacterial small subunit ribosomal RNA", at positions 524 to 776 of the family's 1533-position model. The record is from RNAcentral.